Molecule: unclassified non-coding RNA, 282 nt
Organism: Homo sapiens (human)
Lineage: Eukaryota; Metazoa; Chordata; Mammalia; Primates; Hominidae
Source: Ensembl
GCUGGGUGCAGUAGCUUACACCUGUAAUCCCAGCACUUUGGGAGGCCGAGGCAGAUGGAUUGCUUGAGGUCAGGAGUUCGAGACCAGCCUGGCCGACAUGGUGAAACCCCAUCUCUACUAAAAAUACAAAAAUUAGCUGGACUUGGUGGCGGGCGCCUGUAAUCCCAGCUACUCAGGAGGCUGAGGCAGGAGAAUCACUUGAACCUGGGAGGUGGAGGUUGCAGUGAGCCAAGAUGGCGCCACUGCACUCAAGCCUGGGCAACACAGUGAGACUCUGUCUCA